This 247-nucleotide ribosomal RNA is filed under the name Klebsiella pneumoniae. RNAcentral describes it as "partial 23S ribosomal RNA". It matches the Rfam family "Bacterial large subunit ribosomal RNA", at positions 2666 to 2906 of the family's 2925-position model. The record is from RNAcentral. Lineage: Bacteria; Pseudomonadati; Pseudomonadota; Gammaproteobacteria; Enterobacterales; Enterobacteriaceae.
GGGGGGCUGCUCCUAGUACGAGAGGACCGGAGUGGACGCAUCACUGGUGUUCGGGGUUGUCAUGCCAAUGGCACUGCCCGGUAGCUAAAUGCGGAAGAGAUAAGUGCUGAAAGCAUCUAAGCACGAAACUUGCCCCGAGAUGAGUUCUCCCUGAGACUUUAAGUCUCCUGAAGGAACGUUAAAGACGAUGACGUUGAUAGGCCGGGUGUGUAAGCGCAGCGAUGCGUUGAGCUAACCGGUACUAAUG